This is a transfer RNA of Ovis aries (sheep), 57 nucleotides long. It matches the Rfam family "tRNA", at positions 8 to 63 of the family's 71-position model. Rfam says of the family: Transfer RNA (tRNA) molecules are approximately 80 nucleotides in length. Their secondary structure includes four short double-helical elements and three loops (D, anti-codon, and T loops). The record is from Rfam. Lineage: Eukaryota; Metazoa; Chordata; Mammalia; Artiodactyla; Bovidae.
UAGCUCAGUUGGUAAAGAAUCUGCCUGCAAUGCAGGAGACCCUGGUUCGAUUCCUGG